GUCCACGCCGUAAACGAUGUCUACUAGUCGUCGGGGAUCUUGCAUUUCUGGUGACGCAGCUAACGCGAUAAGUAGACCGCCUGGGGAGUACGGCCGCAAGGUUAAAACUCAAAUGAAUUGACGGGGGCCCGCACAAGCGGUGGAGCAUGUGGUUUAAUUCGAAGCAACGCGAAGAACCUUACCUGGCCUUGACAUCCUGCGAACCUUUUAGAGAUAGAGGGGUGCCUUCGGGAACGCAGUGACAGGUGCUGCAUGGCU
This 258-nucleotide ribosomal RNA is filed under the name uncultured bacterium. RNAcentral describes it as "partial 16S ribosomal RNA". It matches the Rfam family "Bacterial small subunit ribosomal RNA", at positions 793 to 1050 of the family's 1533-position model. The record is from RNAcentral.